ACAGAACGUGGCUCAAGGAGCUAGUUCAGAACGCUCGGUAUGUGUGUUUUGGGAGGAAGCCCUUUGUUUUCUGUGACAAACGAUAGCUUAUUAGAGCGACUACUUGAAACGGAGUUGAGCUUACAAACGAAUCUGAGCGCCAAUUCCUUUUCUGCAUGGUACCACUUUCUUAAGGUGCGGAAGUGAGUUUGGAUUGCAGAUGGUCAGGUGGAGAAAUGAAUGGCCCAUCCGGUGGCGUGGAUGGUUACUGCUUGGCAAACAAAUAAAAAAUCGAGCAUCAGCGUCUAUAACCUCGCUACUGACCGACAUUUCCGUUAACGCACUAACGGUGGACGCACAUUUCUUUCUGUACUUUCCCGUAUAAUGUCCAGGGGGUCAACAAAUAGGCGUUCCGUUUUUAACAAGUUCUGCAUCAGGUCGUGGAGACGCACGGAGCCGUUUCCCUCGGUUUCCCACAAGUGCUUACUCUAACGGAACCCCGCGGAAUGCUUGGCGUGGAGGAGCCUUGAAGAGCACACAGCUGAGAACACCGAACAAAAGAAAUCGCCUUCGUGGUCUUGUGUGGCCGAGAUUGCGCUGGAACACAACGCGGGAAGCUGUUGUCUUUUUGUCGUAGGCACCGGGCGGCUUUCCCCAUCCUUCACGUUCUGUGUAGGAAAAAUCUCCCGCCGUUCUCUCCGUGACACACUUGUAUCAAGCUGUGUAUGUUUCUCGAAUCGAGGCAGAUUAGACCGGUGGUUUGUUUUUGCUCGUGGCGUUGUCCCUUAGUACAUUUUCCAAAACGCAAGUGACGUCUGUUUCGCCUGUCCCGUUUGCCAGUGUAUGUGGGUAUUGUUUCAGCAGAAAGGAAACAAUGAACAGACGUCAUGGUCAGGUAGCCCGUCCAUUUGCGUCUUUCUGAGAUUCUCUCUACGCCAUGACCCUCCACAUUUUUGUCAGCUGCCCGCGGUCAAAAUUCUACACGUUGAGUUCGUGUCUGUUCCGCCCAAGAGGAGCAAAGUUUGUUCGGCGAAUUUUGUUCUCGAGAGAGUAAUUCUUUCUCCUCUGCCGACUCUGUCGCGUGUGUGAAACAAAUCUUAUUCGUCUUGUCUCAGUGCCAGAG
This 1102-nucleotide long non-coding RNA is filed under the name Toxoplasma gondii VEG. The record is from RNAcentral. Lineage: Eukaryota; Apicomplexa; Conoidasida; Eucoccidiorida; Sarcocystidae.